Molecule: transfer RNA, 65 nt
Filed under: Bankia setacea
Lineage: Eukaryota; Metazoa; Mollusca; Bivalvia; Myida; Teredinidae
Description: tRNA-Gly
Source: RNAcentral
UUAGUAGUAGUAUAUUAAGUAUACCUUCCUUCCAAGAAGGUGGUCCAGAUGUUUUGGCUACUAAA